UACAGAGGUCUCAAGCGUUGUUCGGAUUCAUUGGGCGUAAAGGGUGCGUAGGUGGUGAGGUAAGUCGGAUGUGAAAUCUCCAGGCUCAACCUGGAAAUGGCAUUGGAAACUACCUUGCUAGAGGGUUUGAGGGGGGACUGGAAUACUUGGUGUAGCAGUGAAAUGCGUAGAUAUCAAGUGGAACACCAGUGGCGAAGGCGAGUCCCUGGAAAAUACCUGACACUGAGGCACGAAAGCUAGGGGAGCAAACAGG
This 253-nucleotide ribosomal RNA is filed under the name Deltaproteobacteria bacterium. RNAcentral's name for it is "partial 16S ribosomal RNA". It matches the Rfam family "Bacterial small subunit ribosomal RNA", at positions 524 to 776 of the family's 1533-position model. Lineage: Bacteria; Pseudomonadati; Myxococcota; Myxococcia. RNAcentral also lists the same sequence under 1 other name. The record is from RNAcentral.